This 164-nucleotide small RNA is filed under the name Nomascus leucogenys (northern white-cheeked gibbon). Its description in RNAcentral is "7SK RNA (ENSNLEG00000029740.1)". It matches the Rfam family "7SK RNA", at positions 132 to 273 of the family's 331-position model. Rfam says of the family: 7SK was discovered as an abundant small nuclear RNA in the mid-70s but a possible function has only recently been suggested. Two independent studies have found that 7SK RNA binds the CDK9/cyclin T complex (known as elongation factor P-TEFb). P-TEFb activates transcription by phosphorylating the C-terminal domain of RNA polymerase II. Lineage: Eukaryota; Metazoa; Chordata; Mammalia; Primates; Hylobatidae. The record is from RNAcentral.
GUGCUCAGUUGAAGAGGACGACCAUCCCGGAUAGAGGAGGACCAGUCUUUGGUCAAGGGUAUAAAAGUAGCUGUGCCCGCUUGCUAGAACCUCCAAACAAGCUCUCAAGGUCCAAACAUCCAGCAGAUAAUUAGCAAUGGAUUAGAAAAGGGAGCUGGGAAGGU